CAGGUGGGGUGCUUCUGCACCCUGAGCCAGGGUGGGUGCCUUCACUGGGGCUGACUGCAGGGGAGCUGGGUGCCUGCUUCUUUUGGGACACGGAGGGCAGGAGACAAGGAGAGAAGCAAGAGUGUGCUUGUUCUUAAGAGCAAAGCUGAGUGCUGGAGGAGUCUGAGUGGUGACCCUGAACCCCUAAGCCUUAUCCAGGGCUUUCUCAGCAUUGUAGGCCUGGUUUAUUAAGUGACAAUCUCCCGAGGGAAGUGGUGAAAGCCUGACUCUACAGCCUGCUACAUCUCCUUGUCGAUCUGCUUUGCAGAGGGAAAUGCUCACAAUCAGGAAAUAUUUUCUGACGUUCAGCCUACUUCCCCCCACCAUUACAUUUUUUUUUUUUUUUUAAAUUUUGUGUUAUUGAUUCCGUUUGUUUUUCUAUAUCAUCCAAAAUAAUGUCCUUUUAGGAGCACUACAGAUUAGCUUAUAACACCGAGAAGCUGUAUUCUAAGGAAAGUAAAUACAUAGUUUUAGCUACCUGAACAAUCGCUAGCACUUACACGGUUAUUAAAUAACCACCUUAACUGCAGGUAGAAGUUUAGAGCUGACUGUACACAUUUUCCCUGUCUCUAAAGUAAACUGAGACAUUCUGAAUGAAAUGGUUCCAAGAAUGCUUUUUUUUUUUUUUUUUUUUUAAAUUGUUUUGUAAUCUAGAUUAUUUUUCAUCCUUCAAAUCAUCAGUAGAUGGCUGUCUGCUAAGCAUGUCCUUUU
Molecule: long non-coding RNA, 750 nt
Organism: Oxyura jamaicensis (ruddy duck)
Lineage: Eukaryota; Metazoa; Chordata; Aves; Anseriformes; Anatidae
Exons: 3
Source: RefSeq, a predicted model, not a curated record